GGCUGGUCCGAGUGCAGUGGUGUUUACAACUAAUAGAUCACAACAACUUACAGAUUUCUUUGUUCCUUCUUCACUUCCACUGCUUUACUUGCCUAGCCUAAA
RNAcentral lists this Y RNA (102 nucleotides) under Microcebus murinus (gray mouse lemur). RNAcentral describes it as "Y RNA (ENSMICG00000045965.1)". It matches the Rfam family "Y RNA". Rfam says of the family: Y RNAs are components of the Ro ribonucleoprotein particle (Ro RNP), in association with Ro60 and La proteins. The Y RNAs and Ro60 and La proteins are well conserved, but the function of the Ro RNP is not known. In humans the RNA component can be one of four small RNAs -- hY1, hY3, hY4 and hY5. Lineage: Eukaryota; Metazoa; Chordata; Mammalia; Primates; Cheirogaleidae. The record is from Rfam by way of RNAcentral.